RNAcentral lists this ribosomal RNA (461 nucleotides) under uncultured bacterium. Its description in RNAcentral is "bacterial SSU rRNA". It matches the Rfam family "Bacterial small subunit ribosomal RNA", at positions 29 to 533 of the family's 1533-position model. The record is from RNAcentral.
AACGAACGCUGGCGGCAUGCCUAACACAUGCAAGUCGAACGAAGCCUUCGGGCUUAGUGGCGCACGGGUGCGUAACACGUGGGAAUCUGCCCUUCGGUUCGGAAUAACAGUUAGAAAUGACUGCUAAUACCGGAUGAUGACGAAAGUCCAAAGAUUUAUCGCCGAAGGAUGAGCCCGCGUAGGAUUAGGUAGUUGGUAGGGUAAUGGCCUACCAAGCCGACGAUCCUUAGCUGGUCUGAGAGGAUGAUCAGCCACACUGGGACUGAGACACGGCCCAGACUCCUACGGGAGGCAGCAGUGGGGAAUAUUGGACAAUGGGCGAAAGCCUGAUCCAGCAAUGCCGCGUGAGUGAUGAAGGCCUUAGGUUGUAAAGCUCUUUACCGAGGGAUGAUAAUGACAGUACCUGGAGAAUAAGCUCCGGACUAACUCCGUGCCAGCAGCCGACGGUAAAAGUGUGUGUA